CCUACGGGAGGCAGCAGUGAGGAAUAUUGGUCAAUGGGCGAGAGCCUGAACCAGCCAAGUCCCGUGAAGGAUGAAGGAUCUAUGGUUUGUAAACUUCUUUUAUAUGGGAAUAAAGUGAGGAACGUGUUCCUUUUUGUAUGUACCAUAUGAAUAAGCAUCGGCUAACUCCGUCCCAGCAGCCGCGGUAAUACGGGGGAUGCGCGCGUUAUCCGGAUUUAUUGGGUUUAAAGGGUGCGUAGGCGGAAUAGCAAGUCAGCGGUAAAAAGUCGGGGCCCAACCCCGUCGUGCCGUUGAAACUGAUGUUCUUGAGUGGGCGAGAAGUAUGCGGAAUGCGUGGGGUAGCGGUGAAAGGCAUAGAUAGCACGCAGAACUCCGAUUGCGAAGGCAGCAUACCGGCGCCCAACUGACGCUGAAGCACGAAAGCGUGGGUAUCGAACAGGAUUAGAUACCCAAGUAGUC
This 459-nucleotide ribosomal RNA is filed under the name uncultured bacterium. RNAcentral describes it as "partial 16S ribosomal RNA". It matches the Rfam family "Bacterial small subunit ribosomal RNA", at positions 338 to 795 of the family's 1533-position model. The record is from RNAcentral.